RNAcentral lists this ribosomal RNA (451 nucleotides) under uncultured bacterium. RNAcentral describes it as "partial 16S ribosomal RNA". It matches the Rfam family "Bacterial small subunit ribosomal RNA", at positions 29 to 523 of the family's 1533-position model. The record is from RNAcentral.
AACGAACGCUGGCGGCAGGCCUAACACAUGCAAGUCGAGCGGGCGUAGCAAUACGUCAGCGGCAGACGGGUGAGUAACGCGUGGGAACAUACCUUUUGGUUCGGAACAACCCAGGGAAACUUGGGCUAAUACCGGAUAAGCCCUUACGGGGAAAGAUUUAUCGCCGAAAGAUUGGCCCGCGUCUGAUUAGCUAGUUGGUGAGGUAAUGGCUCACCAAGGCGACGAUCAGUAGCUGGUCUGAGAGGAUGAUCAGCCACAUUGGGACUGAGACACGGCCCAAACUCCUACGGGAGGCAGCAGCGGGGAAUAUUGGACAAUGGGCGCAAGCCUGAUCCAGCCAUGCCGCGUGAGUGAUGAAGGCCCUAGGGUUGUAAAGCUCUUUUGUGCGGGAAGAUAAUGACGGUACCGCAAGAAUAAGCCCCGGCUAACUUCGUGCCAGCCGCCGCAGUAA